GUUAUAAGUUAUGUAUUAUUAGAAUCAGGGUUGUGGGUUAUAUCACCACAUGCAACACUAGAUUCACUACUCCUUAAUUUUCCAAAACAUCUUUUGUCAAGAAUGCAGAAUUGAAGCAGAAACAGAGGCAAGUUGGUAGAACUGGAGUACAUACAGUUGCAGAAUUAAAAGUAUCAGAAUUGGCAAGGUAACAAUGGCAUACCUGUAUAGAAUUGAGCUAUAUACAGGCAGCAGGUAAUGUGACAGUGUCGUUUU
Non-coding RNA from Pelobates cultripes (western spadefoot toad), 255 nucleotides. NCBI's taxonomy places the organism in Eukaryota, Metazoa, Chordata, Amphibia, Anura, Pelobatidae. The record is from the annotation of a GenBank genome assembly.